Procambarus clarkii (red swamp crayfish) is the source of this 1404-nucleotide non-coding RNA. Lineage: Eukaryota; Metazoa; Arthropoda; Malacostraca; Decapoda; Cambaridae. The record is from RefSeq and is a predicted model, not a curated record.
UGUUGAUGUGCUCAGUGUGGUGGAGGCGGCCGCGGGUACUAGACGCACGGCUGCCAGUAACAGUCUCAGUGGAUCAGUGUCUCUAUUCUUAGUCGUGGUGUAUUCACGUUAGAUAUAUAUACUUAUGUUGUGAUUAGACAUUCUUGUGGUGAUUUUUUUGUGACAGUUUUUGUGGCUUGACGUGGAUUUUUAAAACAAAAAGUGACAAUAGCAUCUUGGACAACCAUACACAGCUGAUUAGAUUCUUUCGACAUAUGCAACUGGUGUUAAGAAGCCACAACGACUGCAAUAACCCAGCAAUAUCCGGAUGUGUCUGUGGACCAUCGCUGCAAGCAACCCAGGCUGGCUCCCGGCUGCUUCCUAACCCUUCUCUUAACGGUUAGCUUCGUUAUAAACGCUGGUUCGUUGUAGCGGGCGCCACCUUCCUCCACACCCUCCGCCUUGUAAUCGCUAAAAGACCGACCGGAGCGGAACUUAAGUUGAAUUUAUCCGGACUUGUAUUUGUUGUAUUUGUGUGGAGCGUAUUGUUGUGUGGUUGUUGGACACCUGUGUGAGUCCCGGGACGGAGCUCAAAUUGGUCACCCUCUGUGCUGUACAGUACUUGAAGAGCAACAUAUGUUGUGUUGGUGAACUUGUAGUGAAGACUUGAGUAUACUUAGUGAAGGGUGAGCGUGGUGUGUGUGUUAUGAGGAGAGCACAAAGGUAUGAAGACGAUGGUGCUCAGGCCGCUGCUGGUGUACUGAGCCUCCCCCCCCACCACCUCGCGCCCCUGCACGGGAGAACCUUCCCCAGGUGAGCUGUGUUGAGACAAGACCCGGUGAUCCCGGGGACAACACUCAACUUGCUCCACCGUAUAUGGCCUGUUUUGUAAGCAACAUACACACUAACAUCCACCAGAAAGCUGUUACGAGCACCACAUGGGACAUUUAGACUCAAAGUUUGGCUGAGGGAAGAUAAUUAAUACAACUGUGAUCGAAGCAGAGACCGUACAAGCCAUCAAGAUGGGGGACUCAAGCCGCGCCAGCACUCCCUCUUCCUCCACCGCCAACACCACCGCCUCCAGCACCCGCCCCACCACCCCGAGGGAGGAGAGAAACCAGCUUAAGAAGCUGAACAUUCCGGGGGGCAAGCCGUUGCCUUGUGCCAGUUUGGUCGUUGUCAACCCCAAAGGAAAGGUGAGCGAGAGUAGAUCGACGGUUAAAGUCGACCUAGAACGUAGAUAUCGUAGGCUGUAGGUCCUCGUAUACUAGAUCACAGUAGAGAAAGAUCUGGACCUUCCGAUAUUAUCACCCGGGUUUAGUGAAGACUCGUUUUCUGUAGUUACCCCGUGGUUUUCCGCAGUCAAUGUUAUAAGUGCCUAGCCUCUUCCCCUCUCCUUCUAUCCAUAGCUUUCCAGCCAGCCAC